Molecule: transfer RNA, 71 nt
Filed under: Chitinophagaceae bacterium
Lineage: Bacteria; Pseudomonadati; Bacteroidota; Chitinophagia; Chitinophagales; Chitinophagaceae
Description: tRNA-Lys
Rfam family: tRNA
About the family: Transfer RNA (tRNA) molecules are approximately 80 nucleotides in length.
Source: RNAcentral
UGGCUCGCAACUCUAAGGCAGAGUACCUGGCUUUUAACCAGGGUGUAUGGGUUCGAUUCCCAUCGGGCCAA